UGCCGCGUGCGGGAAGAAGGCCUUCGGGUUGUAAACCGCUUUUAGUCGGGAAGAAAGGGUUCUCUUGAAUACGGAGGAUCUUUGACGGUACCGGCGGAAUAAGCACCGGCUAACUACGUGCCAGCAGCCGCGGUAAUACGUAGGGUGCGAGCGUUAAUCGGAAUUACUGGGCGUAAAGCGUGCGUAGGCGGUUCUCCAAGUCCGUUGUGAAAGCCCCGGGCUCAACCUGGGAAUGGCAGUGGAAACUAGGGGACUGGAAUCUGGCAGAGGGGGGUGGAAUGCCGCGUGUAGCAGUGAAAUGCGUAGAGAUGCGGCGGAACACCGAUGGCGAAGGCAGCCCCCUGGGCUGAGAUUGACGCUCAGGCACGAAAGCGUGGGGAGCAAACAGGAUUAGAUACCCUGGUAGUCCACGCCCUAAACGAUGGCAACUAGGUGUUGGGGAAGCGAUUUCCUGGUACCGCAGCUAACGCGUGAAGUUGCCCGCCUGGGGAGUACGGUCGCAAGAUUAAAACUCAA
This 516-nucleotide ribosomal RNA is filed under the name uncultured bacterium. RNAcentral's name for it is "bacterial SSU rRNA". It matches the Rfam family "Bacterial small subunit ribosomal RNA", at positions 395 to 904 of the family's 1533-position model. The record is from RNAcentral.